CCGUGACCUUCAGCUCAGACUUCCCAUUGGUCGGGGGGAAGUACUUCCGUUGUUCUGACACGCCUACUGACGGUGAUGUCACCGACGUUCUACUCCCCACUGAUCAGCGCUGCCCUUGCCCCAGAGCCUGCCAUGGGAAUCUAACCCUUGGAGGCUGUGGCACUAGCCCCUCUGUGCUGGGCGGGGGGCAGGUGUCCUCUCUCCAUGCCCUGCCUUGUCCCUAUACGCCAAAAAAUCUACAAGAGCUACUCUCAUCACCAAAAAGAAAAGGAGGACUUGUGGCACCUUAGAGACUAACAAAUUUAUUAGAGCAUAAGCUUUCGUGAGCUACAACUCACUUCAUCGGAUGCAUUCUCAUCACCAAGUGGAAGACUGAAACAAUCUCAGCAUUCAAAAAUCACGAGUCAGGCCUCAAGGAUGGGAUCGGCUUAAAAAUUCAUGAGUUGUUAUUUUUUUUUUUUUAAAAGAAUACUUUUGCGUUCUUUUUGUCUUCCGGUUUCUGAGCCUUUCAGGUGCACUCGGGUCAUGUUUUAGACUUUCUUCACAACUGCAAGGGCUAGAAAGGAUUUGGAAUUAAUAGAAUUUAGGAAAGGUUAUUCAGCAAGUUAGAAGAAAAGGAGGACUUGUGGCACCUUAGAGACUAACAAAUUUAUUUGAGCAUAAGCUUUUGUAAGCUACAGCUCACUACACGCACAAAACAAUUCUAACAUUGAGAGAAUAAGCAAAAAAAUUGGUUUUCUGAAUUAAAUAUCACAGAUUAGGAACCCUAAUCCAAAGAAAUGAACAGAUAAAAGUAAUUGGGAAAACAGAUAACAAUAUGCUUAUAAAGGUACAAAAACACAAGAGGAGAGCUUUGCUAAUAAGAAAAAAUAGGAACAUCAGCUUUCUAACUAAAGGAAAGGGAAAUGAUCCAGAGAAGAAAAAGAGAUAAGACCAAGAAAACAAAAUAACUCACUUCUCACUGACCCCAUAAAUCAAACUCACCAGGAAUCACAAAUUCAAAAUAGCCAGUUGGUAGAUGUAGACUCAGAAGGAAAAUAUUUAAAUAAAAACUCCUUUUCCUGGGAAUAGUUAGUUAUCAAUCAAAAAGGGAUUGAUUCUCAGGUACACUGUGACAACUUUAUGGCACUGUGCACUCUAAAGCCAGCUUCCUCAGCCUUUGUCAGUUCCCCCAGGGAAGGGGAAUCCCCUGGUAGCAUAGAGCCACUAAAGUGGCUCCUAUACCAUUUCCCUUCCAGUUGCUGGCAUAGAUGCAAGGUGCCUCGCUGAUGACAGAAUGUAAGAAUGGCCGUAAGACUAAAGUUAGGAUCCUAAAUCCUUAGUUAUCACCUACAUUAAAAUAGCUUGAUUUUCAGAGGUGCUGGGCACUCACAAAAUGCCAAUUAAUUCAAUAGGAGCUGCAGGUGCUCAGCAUUUUUGAAAAAUUAGACUGUUUCUGUUUAGAGAAAUAUAGAUUGGAAAAUGUUGGUUGACAUUAGCGUAUAAAGCAGCUCCUGUUGGCUGGGAACGGCGAACCGUGGCCACUGGGAGCGUCAGACAGCCGUGCCUGCGGACGGUCAAUGUAAACACUGUCUCGCGGUGCGACAACGGAUUACCCUGAUGGGCCGCAUGUGGGCAGCAGGUUGCCCACCCCUGGUAUAAAAUAAUAAAUAUAUAAUAUAAAGCAAGUAUUUGCGAGAGGAUGGGAACAGAAAGUUGUCCUCUGAAAGACAGACUACCAUGCUUAUAGAUCCUUUUGAAGCAGAGGUCCCCAAAGUGUGGGGCUUGUCCCCUAGAGGGGCAUGUAGGAACAUCCUGGGGGGUGCGGUGGGGCCUAGGCCAGCCCCCACGGGAGCAGAGAGGGAGCACCACCCAGGCCCUCCCUGCUCCCAGCUCCACUCUGCUCCUGCCCCUAGCCUCAGUCUCUGGCCACAGCUCCAUUCCCGGCCCAGGGCUGAGGCUGGGGGCAAGGCUGAGAGCAGAGCCUCACCUAGCUGCUGGCCCGGCUGCUGGCCACUACUGCAGCCUGGCUGUUGCUCCGCUUCUGCUCCCGCCCCCGCCCCCAGCUGUGGCCCCCGGCCACAACCACGCUCCCAUCCUCAGACCCACCAGCACCUGCAGCCCUAGCUUGGCCCCUUGCCCCUCUCCGUGUCUCUCCCUUCCCCCUCCCCGCCACACCCCAGAGCCAUGGCCCUGCUCCUGGCCCCAGGUCCCGGGGACAGGGGUGUAGGUGGGAGGGGGGCGUUACCCUCAAAACUUUGGGACUGCUGUUUUGAAGCAUCACACUUCCUUUGGAUCAAUUACCCAUAAACUGUCAUCGUUUAAAUGAAUGAAUAGGAGAAACUGGCUUGACAAUGUGAUAUCUUUCUUUCCAUGAUGUUUACAAGUAAAACAUUAAAAGUGUUCGUAUCACAAAACAUGGCUUUCCUCCGAGGCUGGCAGAAAUAAUGCAAUUGAUUUUUAUAGUUUAACAAAAUGAAAAUCUACUCUAACUUAUUUAACAUCUUGACUUAUUUGGCAACAGCUGUGGUGAACAAGAGCGGAGAAGCUUCUUUUCAAUUUAUGUUUCAAAAAAUAAAAAAGAAGAAAUUUUUGACUUAAUAUCUUUGGGCUAGAUUCACAAAAGAACUUAGGGGUUCUAACUGUUAGGCACCUUGAAAAUCACAGGAACAACACUGCAAGCCACAAAGCCUGAGUAAGGCAUCUAGGCUCCUAUCACAAUGAAUGAGGAGAGAUAGGUGCCUUAGAAUGUGCCUUAGGAGAGCCACCUAAGCUAACCAACAGAGACGCUGAGGAGAAGGAUGUGUCCUAAAGUGCUGUCCCUCUCUCAGAGAUAGAUGCCUACGCCCAGGUUGCAGGAAGAUGUUCAUCUCUGUUGGCCCUCCACAACUGGGAACCCCUAUCCUGGAGUCAGGCAGCUUAGGUGCCCAAAUCAUUUCUUGUGAGAAUGAGUUAAGGGGCUGCCUCAUGUCACACAAAAUGCCUGUCAGAGGAGAUGCUACCCCUUACACUUUGUAACUUUUAGCUCAGUAGUUAGAGUACUCACCCAGGAUGUGGCAGGUCCAGGUUCAAUUCCCUCCCUCUGCUAGAUGUGGAAAGAAAGAAUCUGAACAAUUGUCUCCUACCUCUAAGGAGGUAGCCCCAACCACUUAGCUACAAGAUAGACUGAUGAGGGAUUUCCUCAACUUCUCCUAUUGAUGCUGUUCCACUGUGUAGCAAUAAUUAAAAGAGUGAUUAGCACAUGGAAACUUGAUCCCGGGUUUCUCACCUCUCACAUGGUUGCCCCAACCACCAGGUUACAGAGUCAGUCUCAUACAGCUCACUUCUUUGGCCUAAUGGAGAGAAUUCCAUUGACACAGCUGGCCUUUGACCUCUUAGUUGUGUUAACAAGAGGUGAUGUUCUGUAAAAUGAGAAGUAAAUGGAGGAACUUGCUGCACAUUAACAUGUCCUAAUAAUAAUAAAUUUUAGAAUAUCAUAAGAAGACUUCCACUAGUAUUUCUUGUGACAUUUAGCAAUACAUGUAAAGAGAUGGAACCUAUUAUUUAACAUAGUCAUUAUGAACAGCAUUUAUGCAAGUUCCCAUCCUCAUUCUUAACACAUGCCUGAGCACUAGGUGGAUUAUCCAAGACUCAGGCUCUGUUGGAAUAAAGUUUUCAUGACUUAGAUUGAUGUAUCUGGAAUGUAUAGACUCCUUGAAGCCUCAGGUUAGAUGACCAGAUAGCAAGUGUGAAAAAUCGGGACAGAGGUGGGGGGGUAAUAGGAGCCUAUAUAAGAAAAAGCCCCAAAUAUCUGGACUGUCCCUAUAAAAAUCGGGACAUCUGGUCACCCUAGUCUCAGGUUUCAAGUCUGCAGAGUCAGUUCAGUCAUUCGACAAUGGCACUUUUCAUAAGUAAGAUAUUGCUGUUCUUGGCCAAAAAAAGUAUUCUUUCCUCCAUUUUUGUGAAGUAUACUCUGCACUAUUUGGCAGGUUUUUUUUCAUCCCCAAAGUAAAUGCAGUUGGUUUACAUGUCUAGUCUGUGCAAAACUUCAGAAUCCUUUGUGAUGAAAAGUUCUGCUAUAUAAAUGUACAAUGUUUUAAUUGUUAUUUUUUGUUUAUUGUGACAUCCUGUGGAAAGAUGACAUACAAGUGGUAUUCCUUUUGAUAUUGAUAUUUCUCAGGUAUUAAUUGAAAACUUUGUUCAAUUUGUUUUUUUAAUCUUUCAGUUUAACAUGUCAUUGCAUCAGGUCCUUGACAAAAGACACAGCAUAUUGUAGAAGAUGUGAGAUGUCAUCAUGAUCACCAUUAGAUAAGGAUGCAAAAAAAUAUUUAAACAUGCAAAUUCUCCGUACAACUGUAACUACAGAAAAUAAAAUAAUAUACAUAUAAAAUG
Dermochelys coriacea (leatherback sea turtle) is the source of this 4350-nucleotide long non-coding RNA. RefSeq lists it as uncharacterized. The transcript is spliced from 2 exons. The record is from RefSeq and is a predicted model, not a curated record. NCBI's taxonomy places the organism in Eukaryota, Metazoa, Chordata, Testudines, Dermochelyidae.